GGAGGAAAAAGAAACCAACAGGGAUUGCCUCAGUAACGGCGAGUGAAGCGGCAAAAGCUCAAAUUUGAAAUCUAGCACUUUCAGUGUUCGAGUUGUAAUUUGAAGAAGGUAACUUUGGUUUUGGCUCUUGUCUAUGUUCCUUGGAACAGGACGUCACAGAGGGUGAGAAUCCCGUGCGAUGAGAUGCCCAAUUCCAUGUAAAGUGCUUUCGAAGAGUCGAGUUGUUUGGGAAUGCAGCUCUAAGUGGGUGGUAAAUUCCAUCUAAAGCUAAAUAUUGGCGAGAGACCGAUAGCGAACAAGUACAGUGAUGGAAAGAUGAAAAGAACUUUGAAAAGAGAGUGAAAAAGUACGUGAAAUUGUUGAAAGGGAAGGGCUUGAGAUCAGACUUGGUAUUUUGCGUUCCCUUCCUUUUUGGUUGGGUUCCUCGCAGUUUACUGGGCCAGCAUCGGUUUGGAUGGUAGGAUAAUGACAUUGGAAUGUAGCUUUACUUCGGUGAAGUGUUAUAGACUUUGUUGAUACUGCCUAUCUA
RNAcentral lists this ribosomal RNA (529 nucleotides) under Dujonia zeylanoides. Its description in RNAcentral is "eukaryotic LSU rRNA". It matches the Rfam family "Eukaryotic large subunit ribosomal RNA", at positions 52 to 585 of the family's 3401-position model. Lineage: Eukaryota; Fungi; Ascomycota; Pichiomycetes; Serinales; Debaryomycetaceae. The record is from RNAcentral.